Molecule: ribosomal RNA, 253 nt
Filed under: uncultured bacterium
Lineage: Bacteria
Description: partial 16S ribosomal RNA
Rfam family: Bacterial small subunit ribosomal RNA
Source: RNAcentral
UACAGAGGGGGCGAGCGUUAUUCGGAAUUAUUGGGCGUAAAGGGCGCGUAGGCGGCUAAGUAAGUCUCGGGUGAAAUCCCGGGGCUCAACCUCGGAACUGCCUUUGAUACUGCAAAUCUCGAGUCCGAUAGAGGUGGGUGGAAUUCCUAGUGUAGAGGUGAAAUUCGUAGAUAUUAGGAAGAACACCGGUGGCGAAGGCGGCCCACUGGAUCGGUACUGACGCUGAGGUGCGAAAGCGUGGGGAGCAAACAGG